GCCGCCCUAGCUCAGUCGGCAGAGCGAUUCACUCGUAAUGAAUAGGUCAGGGGUUCGAUUCCCCUGGGCGGCUCCA
This 76-nucleotide transfer RNA is filed under the name Mycolicibacterium wolinskyi. RNAcentral's name for it is "tRNA-Thr". It matches the Rfam family "tRNA". Rfam says of the family: Transfer RNA (tRNA) molecules are approximately 80 nucleotides in length. Their secondary structure includes four short double-helical elements and three loops (D, anti-codon, and T loops). Further hydrogen bonds mediate the characteristic L-shaped molecular structure. tRNAs have two regions of fundamental functional importance: the anti-codon, which is responsible for specific mRNA codon recognition, and the 3' end, to which the tRNAs corresponding amino acid is attached (by aminoacyl-tRNA synthetases). tRNAs cope with the degeneracy of the genetic code in two manners: having more than one tRNA (with a specific anti-codon) for a particular amino acid; and 'wobble' base-pairing, i.e. permitting non-standard base-pairing at the 3rd anti-codon position. RNAcentral also lists the same sequence under 4 other names. The record is from RNAcentral. Lineage: Bacteria; Bacillati; Actinomycetota; Actinomycetes; Mycobacteriales; Mycobacteriaceae.